UACAGAGGUCUCAAGCGUUGUUCGGAAUCACUGGGCGUAAAGGGUGUGUAGGCGGUGUGCUAAGUCAGAUGUGAAAGCCCGGGGCUCAACCUCGGAACUGCAUCCGAUACUGGCAUGCUAGAGAAUUGGAGAGGAGUCUAGAAUUCACGGUGUAGCAGUGAAAUGCGUAGAUAUCGUGAGGAAUACCAAGCGCGAAGGCAGGACUCUGGACAUUUUCUGACGCUGAGACACGAAGGCCAGGGGAGCAAACAGG
Molecule: ribosomal RNA, 253 nt
Filed under: uncultured bacterium
Lineage: Bacteria
Description: partial 16S ribosomal RNA
Rfam family: Bacterial small subunit ribosomal RNA
Source: RNAcentral